RNAcentral lists this ribosomal RNA (467 nucleotides) under uncultured bacterium. RNAcentral's name for it is "bacterial SSU rRNA". It matches the Rfam family "Bacterial small subunit ribosomal RNA", at positions 329 to 793 of the family's 1533-position model. The record is from RNAcentral.
UUCCAGACUCCUACGGGAGGCAGCAGUGAGGAAUAUUGGUCAAUGGCCGAGAGGCUGAACCAGCCAAGUCGCGUGAGGGAUGACGGCCCUACGGGUUGUAAACCUCUUUUGUCGGGGAGCAAAGAGAGUCACGUGUGGCUCAUUGAGAGUACCCGAAGAAAAAGCAUCGGCUAACUCCGUGCCAGCAGCCGCGGUAAUACGGAGGAUGCGAGCGUUAUCCGGAUUUAUUGGGUUUAAAGGGUGCGCAGGCGGAAUGUCAAGUCAGCGGUAAAAUUUCGGGGCUCAACCCCGUCGUGCCGUUGAAACUGGCAGUCUCGAGUUGGAGAGAAGUAUGCGGAAUGCGCGGUGUAGCGGUGAAAUGCAUAGAUAUCGCGCAGAACUCCGAUUGCGAAGGCAGCAUGCCGGCUCCACACUGACGCUGAGGCACGAAAGCGUGGGUAUCGAACAGGAUUAGAUACCCCCGUAUG